CUCCACAGAGGACAAGAGGAUCUGUGACAGAGAAAUUACGACUUGCUUCAUGUCCGGACGAAGGAUAGGAUCCUCAUCGAUGCAUUGCUUCGCAAGCAUGGCCAACUAGACAAGGAAAGUUUUGAGAAGAAAUAACUAGACAUAUUAUUUGGUGAGGACUAUGAGAGAUCGAAAGGUGAUUGAAUUUACCUUGAAUACACAAUCAUGAGGAUACAAAUCCAUCAAAUUCAGGUCGACAUAAUCUUUCAAGCUUGACAUGCUCAUUGAGUCAGGUGAGUUCCUAAGCACUGAUAACAUCUGCAAUUUAACAACCGUCAAUGGAAUUCAGUGAGACAAAUAGCAUCAAUAUUGCAGUGUGCUCAGGUAAUGACUUGCCAUAGAAAAACAUAAUGAAUGAAACACAUCCACAUAAGACAGUAGUUAACAUAUCUGAUACAAUGUAUAUUUGUCCAUAAUAAUUUGGUUCCAUGUUUUUUGAGAAUACAACACAAGCUCCCAGUUGGGAAGUGGUUAGACAUCAUUAAGUGAAGUUAAUUGCUUAUAUUUCAAAGAUAUAGCAGAAAGUAUUGUAGUUUUAAGUAAGUUCCGAAUUGUCA
Long non-coding RNA from Mangifera indica (mango), 596 nucleotides. RefSeq lists it as uncharacterized. Lineage: Eukaryota; Viridiplantae; Streptophyta; Magnoliopsida; Sapindales; Anacardiaceae. The record is from RefSeq and is a predicted model, not a curated record. The transcript is spliced from 2 exons.